This 433-nucleotide ribosomal RNA is filed under the name uncultured bacterium. RNAcentral describes it as "partial 16S ribosomal RNA". It matches the Rfam family "Bacterial small subunit ribosomal RNA", at positions 29 to 507 of the family's 1533-position model. The record is from RNAcentral.
AACGAACGCUGGCGGCAUGCCUAACACAUGCAAGUCGAACGAGACCUUCGGGUCUAGUGGCGCACGGGUGCGUAACGCGUGGGAACCUGCCCUUAGGUUCGGAAUAACUCCCCGAAAGGGGUGCUAAUACCGGAUAAUGUCUUCGGACCAAAGAUUUAUCGCCUUUGGAUGGGCCCGCGUUGGAUUAGCUAGUUGGUAGGGUAAAAGCCUACCAAGGCGACGAUCCAUAGCUGGUCUGAGAGGAUGAUCAGCCACACUGGGACUGAGACACGGCCCAGACUCCUACGGGAGGCAGCAGUGGGGAAUAUUGGACAAUGGGCGAAGGCCUGAUCCAGCAAGGCCGCGUGAGUGAUGAAGGCCUUAGGGUUGUAAAGCUCUUUUACCCGGGAUGAUAAUGACAGUACCGGGAGAAUAAGCUCCGGCUAACUCCGUG